Molecule: transfer RNA, 66 nt
Filed under: Adaiphrotermes sp. CIVT267
Lineage: Eukaryota; Metazoa; Arthropoda; Insecta; Blattodea; Termitidae
Description: tRNA-His
Rfam family: tRNA
About the family: Transfer RNA (tRNA) molecules are approximately 80 nucleotides in length. Their secondary structure includes four short double-helical elements and three loops (D, anti-codon, and T loops).
Source: RNAcentral
AUCUAAAUAGUUUAAGUGGAAAAUAUUGGUUUGUGGUGCCGAUGAUAUAAUUUUUUAUUUUAGAUU